This 3156-nucleotide ribosomal RNA is filed under the name Triticum aestivum (bread wheat). Its description in RNAcentral is "partial small subunit ribosomal RNA". The record is from RNAcentral. Lineage: Eukaryota; Viridiplantae; Streptophyta; Magnoliopsida; Poales; Poaceae.
AUGGAGAUUAUUGACUUGUGUUCUGAUAGCGAAGACGAUGUUAAACUGUGUUCAAAAGGCAAAGACAUCACUCAUCUGUGCUCAGAGGACAGAAAAGACAGUCUUGUUCCUAUUGAUGGCGUUGACUCCUCUCUUCUUUUACUCAACACGCCGUUUGCCAAGAACAAUGCAGAACAGCCAAUCACUUUGGAUGAUGAUGAUUGGUUAAGUAGCAAUCCCGCUUCAUGCUCUUAUAGAUCUCCGGCUGGUUCAUCACACAGGAUCUAUCCUCUCUCAAGUUCUUCGCUCAUGCUAUAUGAUUCCCCAUACGGUAAAGCCAAGCAGGAAAUUGAUGAUGAUGAUGAUGUCUAUAUGUAUUCGGUUCCGCCUCCAUCAUUUCCAACCAGUCAUCCAAGUUUGAGUGACGAGGAGGAUCUUACUGCAAGGUUUAAUUAUGCUGAUGGUGGAACUGAUUGGAAACUACCUUUUGGUACCAGCCAGAACGUCAAAACUGAUAGCGAUAGCGAUGAUGUCUACGCUUAUGAAGGCCUGCAUUCACAGAGGAUGCUUCCUCCAUCAAUGCCUUCCUUUAAUCCAGUUAAUAAUGACCCUGAAGUUUCCAAUGGCUUUGGCACGCAAGGCCAACCAAACGCAGAAAAAAGGCCUCUUGGUUGUGAUGAGAGAGCUAUAUAUGAAGAAGCCCUACAGCAUAUCAGUCAGGAAACAAAGGAAGAAGAUCUGCCUGAAGGUGUUUUGUCCAUAUCACUCCUUAAGCACCAGAGAAUAGCAUUAGCUUGGAUGCUCUCCAAGGAGAAUAGUUCGCAUUGUCCAGGUGGAAUUUUGGCAGAUGAUCAGGGUCUUGGGAAGACAAUAUCAACAAUUGCCCUAAUACAAAAGGAGAGGGUUCAACAGUCUAACUUCAUAUCUGCUGAUUCCGACAGUAAAAAUUCUGUGCCAUUAGAUCUUGAUGAUGAUGAUAUAGUGAUGGCAAUGGACAAGAACAAACCCAAGGGUGAACCCUCAGAUAGGCUUGAUCAUGAGCUCUGUGCUAGUUCGUCGGGGAGUGCUUUUAAUAGAAUGGCCAAGACUGUUAAAGUUGAGCCCAAGAAGAAGGGCCGAGUGAAUCUACCAUCCUCUGCAUCAACCUCCAGGUCUGCUACUAGACCAUCUGCAGGAACACUGGUGGUUUGCCCGGCUAGCAUUCUUAAGCAGUGGGCUAGUGAGAUCAAAGCCAAGGUUGCUGAAAGUUCCAGAUUAUCUGUUUUGGUUUAUCAUGGAGGUUCAAGGACUUCAAAACCAACUGAGUUGGCAAAAUAUGAUGUUGUUGUCACCACAUAUACUAUUGUAGGCCAAGAAGUGCCCAAACAAGACUCUGAUGACGAUAUGGAGCCAAAUCACGAUGAAAAGUAUGGGUUAUGUCCUGAUUUUGCUGCUCGUAAAAGAAAACUGACAAAACAGACCAAGAAAAAGGCAAUAAAGAAAAAGAAGGUUAACAAUUCAGCCGCUGACCUGGAUGGUGGUCCACUUGCCAGGGUGCGAUGGUUUAGAGUUGUGCUGGAUGAAGCUCAAACAAUAAAAAAUCACCGGACUAAAUCUGCUAGAGCCUGUUGUGGACUGAAAGCAAAAAGGAGAUGGUGCUUAUCGGGUACACCUAUGCAAAAUACAAUUGACGACCUGUACAGUUAUUUCCGCUUUUUAAAAUAUGAGCCAUAUUCUUCAUUUAGUUUGUUCCGCUCGAUGAUAAAGGGUCCAAUAUCUAGAGGCUCAAGUCAGGGGUAUAAGAAACUUCAAACUGUCUUGAAGAUAAUUCUGUUGCGGCGCACAAAAGAAACACUACUUGAUGGAGAACCUAUUAUAAAAGUACCUCCAAAGACAAUUGAGCUGAAGAAAAUAAAUUUCACACAAGAGGAACGGUAUUUCUAUUUGGCUCUUGAAGAAGGUUCUCGGGAAAAGUUCAAGGAAUUUGCUGCUGCUGGAACAAUAAAACAAAACUAUGCAAACAUUCUUGUAUUGCUGCUGCGGCUUCGGCAAGCUUGUGAUCACCCUUAUCUUCUGAAGGAUGACAAUCAAGCAAAUUAUACUGACCCGGCUUCCAUAGAAAUGGCAAAACAACUUCCUAGGGAAAUAGUGAUGAAUUUGCUCGAAAAGCUGGAGGUACGGCGACCAAUUUGUAUGAUAUGUGCGGAGCAGAGAAAGAACGACAUGGACUCUCGCACAGGACCAAAGGAACCACCUGAGAAUGCUGUUAUAACAACAUGCUGCCAUAUUUUCUGCUAUGAAUGUGCACAAGAGAGCUUAAGUGAAGAGGAAGUCUGCCCUGUUUGCAAACAGAAAUUAAGUUCUGAAUUGCUUUUUUCACGCCCAGUAUUAAGGCUCUGUAUCUCUGAUGAGUUGGAGUCAUAUGCAAUAACUAGUUCUGCAGCAGCAGCAGGAGAUAGUUCUGCAGCAUCAGCAUCAUCGGCAGCAGUAGUAGCAGCAGCAGGAGCAGAUAAUUCUGCAUCAUCGGCAGCAGUAGUAGCAGCAGCAGGAGCAGAUAAUUCUGCAUCAUCGGCAGCAGUAGUAGCAGCAGCAGCAGCAGAUAGUUCUGCAGCAGCAGCAGAUGAAAAAUCCUUGAUUUGCGAAGCCAGUUACAUCUCAUCGAAGAUCAAGGCGGCCGUUGACACGCUUAAAUCAAUCUUCAACACACAUGGCCCUACUGAUAGUGAUGCUCCUAAGGCAAUAGUCUUCUCCCAGUGGACUGGCAUGCUGAACGUCCUGGAGCUUUCACUGAAUAGCAAUUUCAUAAACUUCAGAAGGCUUGAUGGGUCAAUGUCCCUUGACGAUAGAGAAGAAGCAGUGCAAGAGUUUAAGGCUGACCCAGCGGUAAGAGUGAUGCUCAUGUCACUGAAGGCUGGUAAUCUUGGUCUAAACAUGAUAGCUGCUAGCCAUGUGAUCAUGCUCGAUCCCUGGUGGAACCCUUACGCUGAGGACCAGGCGGUUGAUAGAGCACACAGAAUCGGCCAGACCCGUCCUGUGACUGUCACUCGAUUCACAGUCAAUGGCACAGUGGAAGAUCGCAUCUUAGCUCUGCAGGCGAAAAAGAGGGAGAUGGUGGCAUCAGCAUUUGGCGACGAGAAAACGGGUGGCAUCGCAACUCGGCUCACGGUGGAAGAUCUCGGAUAUCUCUUCAACGUAUAG